RNAcentral lists this ribosomal RNA (3115 nucleotides) under Ambystoma mexicanum (axolotl). Its description in RNAcentral is "eukaryotic LSU rRNA". It matches the Rfam family "Eukaryotic large subunit ribosomal RNA". Lineage: Eukaryota; Metazoa; Chordata; Amphibia; Caudata; Ambystomatidae. The record is from RNAcentral.
GCCUCAGAUCAGACGUGGUGACACACUGAAUUUAAGCAUAUUACUAAGCGGAGGAAAAUAAACUAACCAGGAUACCCUCAGUAACAGCCAGUUAAGAGGUAAGAACCCAGCGCUGAAUCCCCGUUCAGCGGCAGGCAUGGGAAAUGUGGCGUACAGAAGACCGACUCUCCGGCAUCGCUCAGGGGGCUCAAGUCCUUCUGAUCGGGUCUCACCCCGUGGAUGGUGUUAGGCCGGUAGCAGCAUCUGGCACGCCGGGAUCAGUUCUUCUUGGAGUCAGGUUGCUUGGGAAUGCAUCCCAAAGCAAGUGGUAAACUCUAUCUAAGGCUAAUAUGGGCGCCGGGCGGAUGGCUAACAAGUAUUGGAAGGGAAAGUUGAAAAGAACUUUUAAGAGAGAGUUCAAGAGAGCAUGAAACCAGUUGGAGGUAAACUGGUGGGAUCCAUGCAGUCUGCCCGCAGGAUUCAACACGGUAUUUAGGUCGGUUGCCUGGAAUGGUGGAUGCCCUCGCGGGACUGCGCCCCGGGCAGAUCCGCCCUCCGCAGGGCGCAUUUCCUCUGUGGCGGUGCACUGCGACCGGCUGGGAAGGCCACAUGGGGCAGGUGGCUCUCUGCUCCAGAGUGUUACAGCCCCCUGAAAGCAGUUUUUCUGUGUCCGGGAGCCGAGGGAGAUUGACUGCUGCAGUGCUCUUCUCCAGCAACCGUCCUGGCCUCUCUUGGCGGUCGCCGGGGUGGCGACGGGAGACAGGGCUCCAAAUGCGACUGUGGUGGACUGCCCUCAGUGCGCCCCGACCACGUUGUGCUGCUGGGCGGGGAGGCCAACAAAGGGCACCAGGGGUCUGAGGUGGUGUUGGUUAACCAACCGACCUGUCUUGAAACACGGGCCAAGGAGUCUUAACACGUGCGCAAGUCGGAGGGACAAAUGAAACCCUGUGGUGCAAAGAAAGUGAAGGCCGGCGCGUGCCGAUUGCGGUGGGAUCCCGUCGUGGUGGGAGCACUACCGACCCAUCUCUGUCAAGGAGAUGGAGCAUGAGCGUGUGUGAUAGGACCUAAAAGAUCGUGAACUAGGCCUAGUGGCAGUCCUGAUGUGUAAAUCGGUCAUCCGACCUGGGUAUAGGGGCGAAAGACUAAUCAAACCAUCUAGUAGCUGGUUCCCUCUGGAGUUUCCCCUCGAGAUAGCUGGCGCACAGAAACCCCAUUUUUAUCUGGUAAAGCGAAUGAUUAGAGGUAUCGGGGCCAAAAUAAUCUCAAACUUGGGUAAGAAGCUCGGCUCGCUGGCGUGGAGCCAGGCCUCGAAUGCAAGUGCCUAGUGGGCAACUUUUGUAAAGAUGAACUGGCGCUGCAGGAUGAACCGAGUGCCGCGUUAAGGCACCUGAUGCCGACGCUCAUCAGACCCCAUUAAAGGUGUUGGUUGAUAUAGACAGCAGGACGUUGGCCAUGGAAGUCGGAAUCUGUUAAGGAGCCCCAGGUAGGGUUCUCUUUUCUUUGUGAAGGACAGGGCACCCUGGAAUGGGUUCGCCCUGAGCGAGGGGGCCAAGCCUUGGAAAGCGUUGCGUUUCCGGCAGUGUGCGGUGAGCUCUCGCUGGUCCUUGAAAUCCGGGGGAGAUGGUAUCAAUCUUGCCCCGGGCCAUACCCAUAUCCGCAGCAGGCCUCCAAGGUGAACAGCCGCUGGCAUGUUGGAACAAUGUUUGUAUGGAAGUUGGCAAGUCGGAUCCGUAAUUUCGGAUAAGGAUUGGCUCUAAGGGCUGGAUCGGUCAGACUGGGGCGCGAAACUGGGCUGGGCGCCUGCUGCAGCUGGAUGAGGUUUCUCAUCCCCUCCCCUCGGGGCGGCGCCGACUGUGGGUGCGAGCCGGCCCUGCCUAUGGAUUGCCCCAGCUGCGGUGGACGCCUUUCUCCGUUCCCCUCCCGGGGUUCGGGACCGACGUACUGCCUCGGCCGACGCCUAUCAGCUGAUUUAGAACUGGUGCGGACUAGGGGAAUCCGACUGUUUAAUUAAAACAAAGCAUCGCGAAGGCCUGCAGUGGGUGUUGAUGCAAUGUGAUUUCUGGCCAGUGCUCUGAAUGUCAAAGUGAAGAAAUUCAAUGACGCAUGGGUAAACGGCGGGAGUAACUAUGACUCUCUUAAGGUAGCCAAAUGCCUUGUCAUCUAAUUAGUGACACGCAUGAAUUGAUGAACGAGAUUCCCACUGUCCCUCCCUACUAUCUAGUGAAACCACAGCCAAGGGAACGGGCUUGUCAGAAUCAGCAGGGAAAGAAUACCGGUUCAGCUUGCCUCUUGUCUGGCACUGUGAAGAGACAUGAGAGGUGUAGGAUAAGUGGUAGGCCCUCGGUCCGCCGGUGAAAUACCACUACUCUUAUUGGUUUUUCACUUACCCGGUGAGGUGGGAGGCGAGCCCCGUCGGGCUCUCACUUCUGGCUCCCGGGCGCCCGCCGUGCGCAUCCCGCUCCGCGGACAGUGGCAGGUGGGGAGUUUGACUGGCGCAGUACACCUGUCAAAUGAUAACACAGGUGUCCUAAGGCGAGCUCAGGGAGGACAGAAACCUCCCACGCAGCAGAAGGGCAAAAGCUUGCUUGAUCUCGAUUUUUCAGUAUGAAUACAGACCGUGAAAGCGGGGCCUUACAAUCCUUCAGACUUUUUGGGUUUCAAGCAGGAGGUGUCAGAAAAGUUACCACAGGGAUAACUGGCUUGUGGCAGCCAAGCGUUCAUAGCAACGUCGCUUUUCAUCCUUCAAUGUCAGCUCUUCCUAUCAUUGUGAAGCAGAAUUCACGAAGCGUUGAAUUGCUCACCCACUAAUAGGGAACCUGAGGUGGGUUUAGACCGUCAUGAGACAGGUUAGUUUUACCCUACUGAUGAUGUGUUGUUGCAAUAGUAAUCCUGCUUAGUACAAGAGGAACCGCAGGUUCAGACAUUUGCUGAAUGUGCUUGGCUGAGGAGCCAAUUGGGUGAAGCUACCAUCUGUGCGAUUAUGACUGAACGCCUCUAAACCGUAACGAUACUGCAGCGCUGUCGAACCCGGUUUGUCUAGGAUAGCCGGUCUCUGGGCCGGUGCUUAGAACCGCUCGCCUCGGCACUCAAGUGUGGACAGAAGGGGGCUACCUCUCUCGCCCGUAGUGCACCACAU